This is a long non-coding RNA of Papaver somniferum (opium poppy), 1138 nucleotides long. RefSeq lists it as uncharacterized. The transcript is spliced from 2 exons. NCBI's taxonomy places the organism in Eukaryota, Viridiplantae, Streptophyta, Magnoliopsida, Ranunculales, Papaveraceae. The record is from RefSeq and is a predicted model, not a curated record.
UCGUACGAUUAUCGUGUGAAAAGUUUCAGAAUCUUUUUCUGCUCCACUUACCAUGACACGAUCUCAUAUUUUGAUUUUUCCCUUUCUUAUAUUUUUCCCCUGAAGAAGAAAUUUCUAGGGCAAAAAAAUGGGUCUUCCCAAAAAAACCAAUCGAAACCUAGAUUUCCGUUCCACCAAAGACGAGGCUUGGUACACUGUUGGUAAGGUGUCCAUAAGCAAGACGAAGAACAUCCUCACUGUCAGAUUCGCUGGGUUUGAUAAGGAAGAUGAUGAAAAAUUCAGUGUCAAAGAUUUUAAUACAGUGAACGAACUGGAUGAUUUUCUGAACAGAUUUCGACCAGCUUGUGUUCAGUUGCAAGAUAAACUGUGCUGCUUUGAGUCGUGGCUUUGAAGUUUGUGCAUUGCUUGAUCUAGGCGAAGAAGAUAAGAAGUUCUAUGAUGGAAAAAUUGAGUCGAUAAGCCGCAAGCGUCAUAGACGUAAAGGAGGAGAAGAGACUUGUUCUUGUGCAUUUGUAGUUGGGUGGUCAGAAGGUCCAAAGGCUAGAAGCACCCAACAGAUGGGAAUUGAAAGUAUUUGCAAACUUGAACAAGGAUCUCCAUUGUUUGAUCAUGCGCUGGCAUAUUUCGUGAAGAUGCCGUCAAAACAGCUUGAUUUUGGUUUCAAAUGAAAAUCAAUUGCCAGUCAAAAAAAAGUUCAAGGUAAACUUUCAGGUUUGAAUUUGCUUGUAGUAGCUAAUUGCCAAUUAAUGGGUGCGUAGUUUGGACCAUUUUAUUUUGUCAACAGUAAUUCGAAGUUAUUAUAUCAUAAGGAAAUUUUGGGAAAUUAGACUUGGUGGGAUUAUAUGUCCACCUUUGUAAAUACUAUUUUGUCAAUAAGAUUGUGAGGACUGAGGAAUACAAAGUACGCAGUAGAAACUUAAUCAGGCGUCUUAAAUUCGUGUAAUUAUUUUGAUUGAAGGUGUUAAUCUAGUUAUGAUUUAUUGACUGCAGUAGUUGUUUCUUUAAUUGUGUCCAUUUGUAUCUUCAAUUGUGUCCAUUCAUUUCAGCAGCCGUAUUUGCGAGACAGUAGAAACUUAAUCAGUCUGUCUUAAAUUCGUGUAAUUAUUUUGAUUGAAGGUGUUAAUUCAGUUAUGAGUUA